RNAcentral lists this ribosomal RNA (465 nucleotides) under Vreelandella stevensii. RNAcentral's name for it is "partial 16S ribosomal RNA". It matches the Rfam family "Bacterial small subunit ribosomal RNA", at positions 338 to 795 of the family's 1533-position model. The record is from RNAcentral. Lineage: Bacteria; Pseudomonadati; Pseudomonadota; Gammaproteobacteria; Oceanospirillales; Halomonadaceae.
CCUACGGGUGGCAGCAGUGGGGAAUAUUGGACAAUGGGGGGAACCCUGAUCCAGCCAUGCCGCGUGUGUGAAGAAGGCCCUCGGGUUGUAAAGCACUUUCAGUGAGGAAGAACGCCUGGUGGUUAAUACCCAUCAGGAAAGACAUCACUCACAGAAGAAGCACCGGCUAACUCCGUGCCAGCAGCCGCGGUAAUACGGAGGGUGCGAGCGUCAAUCGGAAUUACUGGGCGUAAAGCGCGCGUAGGUGGCUUGAUAAGCCGGUUGUGAAAGCCCCGGGCUCAACCUGGGAACGGCAUCCGGAACUGUCAAGCUAGAGUGCAGGAGAGGAAGGUAGAAUUCCCGGUGUAGCGGUGAAAUGCGUAGAGAUCGGGAGGAAUACCAGUGGCGAAGGCGGCCUUCUGGACUGACACUGACACUGAGGUGCGAAAGCGUGGGUAGCAAACAGGAUUAGAUACCCCAGUAGUC